This 532-nucleotide ribosomal RNA is filed under the name Morchella tridentina. Its description in RNAcentral is "partial 28S ribosomal RNA". It matches the Rfam family "Eukaryotic large subunit ribosomal RNA", at positions 86 to 629 of the family's 3401-position model. Lineage: Eukaryota; Fungi; Ascomycota; Pezizomycetes; Pezizales; Morchellaceae. The record is from RNAcentral.
ACGGCGAGUGAAGCGGCAAAAGCUCAAAUUUUAAAGCUGGCAUCUUCGGUGCCCGCGUUGUAAUUUUGUGAGGCAUCUCCGGGUAGGGCGCCGGCCUAAGUUCCUUGGAACAGGACGUCACAGAGGGUGAGAAUCCCGUGCUUGGCUGGCUGUCCCCGCCCACGUGAGGUGUCUUCGACGAGUCGAGUUGUUUGGGAAUGCAGCUCAAAAUGGGUGGUAAAUUUCAUCUAAAGCUAAAUAUUGGUGGGAGACCGAUAGCGCACAAGUAGAGUGAUCGAAAGAUGAAAAGCACUUUGAAAAUAGAGUUAAAAAGUACGUGAAAUUGUUGAAAGGGAAGCGCUUGAGACCAGACUUCGGUAGGGGGUGAUCAGCCGUCCUUCUGGGCGGUGCACUUGCCCCCCUCCGGGCCAGCAUCGGUUGAGGCGGCGGGAUAAAGGUCCCGGGAAUGUGGCUCCCUCACGGGAGUGUUAUAGCCCGGGUGAAUGCCGCCAGCCUCGACCGAGGACCGCGCCCGCAAGGGCUAGGAUGCUUG